Molecule: ribosomal RNA, 492 nt
Filed under: uncultured microorganism
Description: bacterial SSU rRNA
Rfam family: Bacterial small subunit ribosomal RNA
Source: RNAcentral
GAGUUUGAUCAUGGCUCAGAACGAACGCUGGCGGCGUGGAUAAGACAUGCAAGUCGAACGGGAGAAUUGCUAGCUUGCUAAUAAUUCUCUAGCGGCGCAUGGGUGAGUAACACAUGAGUAACCUGCCCCCGAGAGCGGGAUAGCCCUGGGAAACUGGGAUUAAUACCGCAUAGUAUCGAAAGAUUAAAGCAGCAAUGCGCUUGGGGAUGGGCUCGCGGCCUAUUAGUUAGUUGGUGAGGUAACGGCUCACCAAGGCGAUGACGGGUAGCCGGUCUGAGAGGAUGUCCGGCCACACUGGAACUGAGACACGGUCCAGACACCUACGGGUGGCAGCAGUCGAGAAUCAUUCACAAUGGGGGAAACCCUGAUGGUGCGACGCCGCGUGGGGAAUGAAGGUCUUCGGAUUGUAAACCCCUGUCAUGUGGGAGCAAAUUAAAAGAUAGUACCACAAGAGGAAGAGACGGCUAACUCUGUGCCAGCAGCCGCGGUAAC